This 110-nucleotide ribosomal RNA is filed under the name Danio rerio (zebrafish). The record is from RNAcentral. Lineage: Eukaryota; Metazoa; Chordata; Actinopteri; Cypriniformes; Danionidae.
GCUUAUGGUCAUUCCACCCUGAGCGAACCCAAUCUCAGAAACUAAGAGGGGUUGGGCAUGGUUAGUACUUGGAUUGAAAAAUCGCCUUGGAAUACCAGGUGCCGUAAGCU